GGGUUGUGAGGUUAAGCGACUAAGCGUACACGGUGGAUGCCUUGGCAGUCAGAGGCGAUGAAGGACGUGCUAAUCUGCGAUAAGCGUCGGUAAGGUGAUAUGAACCGUUAUAACCGGCGAUUUCCGAAUGGGGAAACCCAGUGUGUUUCGACACACUAUCAUUAACUGAAUCCAUAGGUUAAUGAGGCGAACCGGGGGAACUGAAACAUCUAAGUACCCCGAGGAAAAGAAAUCAACCGAGAUUCCCCCAGUAGCGGCGAGCGAACGGGGAG
RNAcentral lists this ribosomal RNA (272 nucleotides) under Escherichia coli. RNAcentral's name for it is "partial 23S ribosomal RNA". It matches the Rfam family "Bacterial large subunit ribosomal RNA", at positions 1 to 264 of the family's 2925-position model. Lineage: Bacteria; Pseudomonadati; Pseudomonadota; Gammaproteobacteria; Enterobacterales; Enterobacteriaceae. The record is from RNAcentral.